This 148-nucleotide non-coding RNA is filed under the name Pan troglodytes (chimpanzee). Lineage: Eukaryota; Metazoa; Chordata; Mammalia; Primates; Hominidae. The record is from Rfam by way of RNAcentral.
GCUGGGCAUGGUGGCACUUGCCUGUAGUCCUAGCUACUUGGGAGGCUGAGGCAGGAGAAUCACUUGAACCCAGGAGGCGGAGGUUGCAGUGAGCUGAGAUUAUGCCGCUGCACUCCAGCCUGGGUAACAGAGUGAGACUCUGUCUCAA